This 253-nucleotide ribosomal RNA is filed under the name uncultured bacterium. Its description in RNAcentral is "partial 16S ribosomal RNA". It matches the Rfam family "Bacterial small subunit ribosomal RNA", at positions 524 to 776 of the family's 1533-position model. The record is from RNAcentral.
UACGUAGGUGGCAAGCGUUGUCCGGAAUUAUUGGGCGUAAAGAGCGCGUAGGCGGUCCGAUAAGUCGGCUGUGAAAGUCAGGGGCUCAACCCUUGAAAGCCGGCCGAUACUGUCGGACUAGAGUCCGGAAGAGGCAAGUGGAAUUCCCGGUGUAGCGGUGAAAUGCGCAGAUAUCGGGAGGAACACCAAUGGCGAAGGCAGCUUCUUGGCUCAUUCCUGACGUUGAGGCACGAAAGCGUGGGGAGCAAACAGG